GAUGAACGCUGGCGGCGUGCUUAACACAUGCAAGUCGAACGGUGAAGGCGGAGCUUGCUCUGCUGGAUCAGUGGCGAACGGGUGAGUAACACGUGAGCAAUCUGCCCCUGACUCUGGGAUAAGCGCUGGAAACGGCGUCUAAUACUGGAUACGAGCUGCGAAGGCAUCUUCAGCAGCUGGAAAGAAUUUCGGUCAGGGAUGAGCUCGCGGCCUAUCAGCUUGUUGGUGAGGUAAUGGCUCACCGAGGCGUCGACGGGUAGCCGGCCUGAGAGGGUGACCGGCCACACUGGGACUGAGACACGGCCCAGACUCCUACGGGAGGCAGCAGUGGGGAAUAUUGCACAAUGGGCGAAAGCCUGAUGCAGCAACGCCGCGUGAGGGACGACGGCUCUCGGGUUGUAAACCUCUUUUAGCAGGGAAGAAGCGAAAGUGACGGUACCUGCAGAAAAAGCGCCGGCUAACUACGUG
RNAcentral lists this ribosomal RNA (468 nucleotides) under uncultured bacterium. Its description in RNAcentral is "partial 16S ribosomal RNA". It matches the Rfam family "Bacterial small subunit ribosomal RNA", at positions 28 to 507 of the family's 1533-position model. The record is from RNAcentral.